GUACCCUACGGGACGCAGCAGUGAGGAAUAUUGGUCAAUGGUCGGGAGACUGAACCAGCCAAGCCGCGUGAGGGAGGAAGGUACAGAGUAUCGUAAACCUCUUUUGUCAGGGAACAAAGGCGGGGACGUGUCCCCGGAUGAGUGUACCUGAAGAAAAAGCAUCGGCUAACUCCGUGCCAGCAGCCGCGGUAAUACGGAGGAUGCGAGCGUUAUCCGGAUUUAUUGGGUUUAAAGGGUGCGCAGGCGGGAGAUCAAGUCAGCGGGAAAAUGUCGGGGCUCAACCCCGGCCGGCCGGUGAAACUGGG
RNAcentral lists this ribosomal RNA (305 nucleotides) under uncultured bacterium. RNAcentral describes it as "bacterial SSU rRNA". It matches the Rfam family "Bacterial small subunit ribosomal RNA", at positions 334 to 637 of the family's 1533-position model. The record is from RNAcentral.